AAGUCGUAACAAGGUUUCCGUAGGUGAACCUGCGGAAGGAUCAUUAUUAAUCGGUCCCUUCGGGGAUGUCUGAAACCCUUGAAUAUAUAACUUUGUUGCUUUGGCGGGCCGCCGUACGGCGUUGGCUCCGGCUGACCGUGCCCGCCAGAGGUCAAAACUCGUUUAUUUAAUGAUGUCUGAGUACUAUAUAAUAGUUAAAACUUUCAACAACGGAUCUCUUGGUUCUG
Molecule: unclassified non-coding RNA, 227 nt
Filed under: fungal sp.
Lineage: Eukaryota; Fungi
Description: partial contains small subunit ribosomal RNA, internal transcribed spacer 1, and 5.8S ribosomal RNA
Rfam family: Eukaryotic small subunit ribosomal RNA (bases 1-46)
Source: RNAcentral